This 1096-nucleotide long non-coding RNA is filed under the name Salmo salar (Atlantic salmon). RNAcentral describes it as "lncRNA (ENSSSAG00000093945.1, ENSSSAG00000103872.1)". The record is from RNAcentral. Lineage: Eukaryota; Metazoa; Chordata; Actinopteri; Salmoniformes; Salmonidae.
GGCCCUUUCCGGCAACCUGAUUGGUUAAAAUGACUUCCUUGUUUCAAAAUAUCUCCCACGAAGAAUCUACGUAAAGACAUAGAAGGAGAAAAUCUCGAAGAAUAUACCUACAGUAUGUGAACAAAAAUAGGCGAUCUCAGUUAGCCAAUGAGAGAAAAGCAGUGAAUGAAAGAAAAAGAUUAGCCUGAUCAGCCAAUCGAGGCAGUGGCAGUACAGGUAGAGGAGGAAAAGGAAGUAGCCGGCAGCAGCACGUUGAGACGCAAAUUAGUUGAGAUGAAGUUGAUAGCUAGCAGCGAUCAACCAGUCAGCAGCCAGCCAACAGAGGCUUUUAUUCCACAUGUCACAAAUAAACUAACUUGAUUUGCCUUAAGUGUGUAAACACUGGACUGAAAAUCACCAUAGACACCACCAACCAGGGAUUCUGUAAAUCUAGAUAAAAUGUGCACACUAUGAAGCUGAUCAUGAUGCAUUUAGGAGGAGUGUUUACACUUCCUUCAGGCUGCAGGAGUGCUCCAGGGGAGAUGUGGCAUUUGAUAUACAUUUGAGGAUGGUUGUUCUAGCCCACGAACUUGGACUUGGUUAUGCAGCUCUAAAGAAAAUAAGCAAAGUCCUAGGGACUCCUUCCUUGCGUCUCAGCUCAUAUCAGACAUGUCAGGAGAGUGACAGUUGGAACUCACUUGGUGAAGUCUACAGGACUGAAAAUGAACGAAUUCAACAACCAUGUUUCUGUCACUAACAAAUACAGUCAACUCUACAAUUCCCUCGAAAAGGCAAGGCACAGCGGGAAAUUAUAUUGGAGGUGUGGCUAAGUGGGGAUGUGGCUUUCAAUUAGUUAUUUUUUGCCACCAGUGAGUGGAAGUAUUGUUCCAGUUUUAACCUCAUAAUGAUCUGACCCUUUUUUUAAAAACAUUUUGGGCUAAAAUGACAUACCCAAAUAUAACUACCUGUAGCUCAGGCCUUGAAGCAAGGAUAUGCAUAUUCUUGUUACCAUUUGAAAGGAAACACUUUUAUGAAAAGUUUGUGAAAAUGUGAAAUGAAUGUAGGAGAAUAUAACACAUUAGGUAACAGUUAAUACAAAGAAAAACAUAUGUUUUUG